Drosophila ficusphila is the source of this 3017-nucleotide RNA transcript. It is a transcript of the gene named trehalase, with no coding region annotated. Lineage: Eukaryota; Metazoa; Arthropoda; Insecta; Diptera; Drosophilidae. The record is from RefSeq and is a predicted model, not a curated record. The transcript is spliced from 7 exons.
UGGAAUAUACAAGUUUAGAAGUGAACCCUUUUUAGAACCCUCUGGACUGACAGUGUAUAUCUCGCCGAUAAACCCGGUCGCUCUCUGUGCGGUUGCUAUCCAAGUUUUCGAUGUGUAUAUAGGUUUUCAGUGUGAGAACAAGAGCGUUAACCCAAUCUGUAGAGCGGAAAAGCGCGAAAUUCGCUGAGCGAAAACUAUAUAAUAACCGUAAGUUGCACGGACGUGAUUAGUCUCGUGGCGCUGAUCGAAGGCAAAAGAACCAAGCUACGCUGAAAGAAAAAACGGCAGUGAUCGAACCGAGUGAUAAAUGCAAACAACGCAUAUUGAAGUGAUAAACAAGUGGCAAAAAUAAACAAACCAUUUUAGCUAAAUUAAAAUCUGUGCUACCCGUCCGCAACCUUGCGACAGUAUCCAAAUUUAUCGCAACAUCGGGGAGCAACUUUCUCAGCCGCAAUAUGUCUACUCCAGCAAACCCCUCAAGCAAUCACAAAAUGAACGGAAAUGGUGAAAUCUACUGCUAUGGCGACCUAUUGCACACCAUUCAAAUGGCUCAACUUUUCCCGGAUUCAAAGACGUUUGUGGACAUGAAACUGAAUAAUUCGCCCGAUAAGACGCUCACGGACUUUAGAGCAAUGAUGGAGACCAAAAACAACACGCCCAGCAGAGAUGAUCUAACGAAGUUUGUGGAUGAAUACUUCAGUCCCAAGGGCACUGAACUGGAGCUGUGGGAUCCCACGGAUUGGAAGGAGAAUCCCAGCUACCUCGAUCGCGUUUCGGAUCCGGAUCUAAAGCAGUGGGGCGUGGAGCUGAACAACAUUUGGAAGCAGCUGGGUCGCAAAAUGAAGGACGAUGUGCUGAAGAAUCCGCAGUACUACUCCAUUAUCCCUGUGCCAAACCCGGUAAUCAUUCCCGGCGGUCGUUUCAUCGAGUUCUACUACUGGGACUCGUACUGGAUCAUCCGUGGAUUGCUGUACAGCGAGAUGUACGACACCGCCCGUGGAAUGAUUAAGAACUUCCUGUCCAUUGUGAACCGCAUCGGAUUCAUUCCGAACGGCGGACGAGUUUACUACCAUGGUCGCUCCCAGCCGCCACUUUUGACGGGAAUGGUCAAGUCAUACGUGGACUUCACAAACGAUGACAAGUUCGCCAUCGAUGCUUUGGAGGAUCUGGAGCAUGAGUUCGAGUACUUUGUGAAUAACCACACGGUGGAGGUGAAGAACCACAGCCUGUGUGUCUACCGCGAUUCGUCGACGGGUCCACGACCGGAGUCCUACAGCGAGGAUGUGAAGACUGGCGAGAGUUUCAGCACCGAUGCGGAAAGGGAGCUCCACUACAGCGAACUCAAGGCGGCGGCUGAGUCGGGAAUGGACUUCAGCUCCCGUUGGUUCAUCAACGAUAAGGGCACCAACGAAGGAAAUCUCACUAACCUAAGUACCAGCUUGAUCGUGCCCGUCGACCUGAACGCCUAUCUCUAUUGGAACGCCAAGCUGAUUGCUGAAUUCCACUCCAAGGCCGGCAACACAAAGAAGGUUAUCGAGUACGAAAAUAAGGCCGAGAAGUUCUACCAGGGCAUCCAGGAAGUGCUGUGGAACGAGGAGGCCGGUUGCUGGUUGGACUACGAUAUGAAGAACGAGAAGUCGCGCGAUUACUUUGUACCCACCAAUUUGUCUCCGCUGUGGGUUAAGGCCUACAAUAUCUCCGACUCGGAGAAGAUCUCGGCUUCGAUUAUGGCCUACAUUGAGAGGAACAAGCUGGACUCAUUCCCCGGUGGAGUUCCCAAUACGUUAGCCACUCCCGGAGAGCAGUGGGAUUACCCCAAUGUGUGGGCGCCAAUGCAGUACAUCUUGGUCGAGGGUCUGAACAAUCUCAACACUCCCGAGGCCAAAAACAUGUCCAAGAAGUGGGCCAUCCGCUGGGUGAAGUCAAACUUCAAGGCCUUCAGCGAUCAAUUCCAUAUGUACGAGAAGUACAACGCCCUAGAGUUUGGAGGACAUGGAGGUGGAGGCGAGUACGAAGUGCAGACAGGAUUCGGUUGGUCGAACGGUGUGAUCAUCGAGUGGCUGAGCAAGCACGGGCGUGACAUUUCCACCGGAGCAGGAGGCGGCGCUGCAGGUGAAGAGCCGCAGUAGAGAGAAUCUGUAGCCAGGCCAGAACGCAAUCCAUCAUCAGACAUCAUCGUUAGCAUCAUCACAGGCUCAAAGCCAAAGCUUUUUCGAAAAAUUGUAUUUAGAUCUUUGUACAUGUACUAUAUAAGCAACCAUCCAGAAGCGCUCAUCAACUGCUCAUCAUCAACUAGGAUAAGCAAAAACGCUCUCUCUUUCUCCGCAAAAUCUAUCCCUAUAAACGCCGCUGUCUAUAACCUAUAUCUGUACCGCGAACCAUCGAACAAUCCCGAGACAAGCAUCGAAAACCACAGCACCCCAGUCACCCAGGCACCGCCAAGAACGAGGAUCCGAUGUCCACCAUCCAUCGAGCAUCCCUGUACUGUCUGUUGUCCAUGUCAUCCACGUCCAGUCCACGUCUGCACACUCGUGUGACUUGUCCAAAAUCAGGCAAAAAUCAAUAGGAACAUUAAAUGUCUCAAAGCAAGCCGAGCAUCGCGAUCAAGUUGAGGAUUCACGACCUCUCGUGUGAUGAACUUUGUGGGCUUGGCGGCUGUUACCGUAGUGGCUCUGAUAGCGGGUCGUUUUCUAUGGUGAGACACUCUGUGCCAAAACAACCCGUAAUUGCUUCCCAAGUAUUGUGAUUCCCCCGUGUGUGCGUGUAGUUGCUUAGUGUCUGUAGUUGUUCACGUUUUUCGUUGAAUGCGGAGAUUGCAGUAUUAGAUAUUCAUUAUUUGGUAGUUGAAGUGAGAGUUGUACAUACUGAAUUUAUAUGGGCAUGCCCGACAUUGUUAUUACGUUUUAAUAUUUAGCAAAUACCUAUACCAAUCCUAGCUCCUCGCAACCAAAUGAAGACACAAAUACAAAUGUUAAUAAUAAUGUACAAAACAAAAAUAAACAUGAACACAAAUUAUA